Molecule: ribosomal RNA, 372 nt
Filed under: uncultured bacterium
Lineage: Bacteria
Description: bacterial SSU rRNA
Rfam family: Bacterial small subunit ribosomal RNA
Source: RNAcentral
ACGUAGGUCACAAGCGUUGUCCGGAAUUACUGGGUGUAAAGGGAGCGCAGGCGGGAAGACAAGUUGGAAGUGAAAUCCAUGGGCUCAACCCAUGAACUGCUUUCAAAACUGUUUUUCUUGAGUAGUGCAGAGGUAGGCGGAAUUCCCGGUGUAGCGGUGGAAUGCGUAGAUAUCGGGAGGAACACCAGUGGCGAAGGCGGCCUACUGGGCACCAACUGACGCUGAGGCUCGAAAGUGUGGGUAGCAAACAGGAUUAGAUACCCUGGUAGUCCACACUGUAAACGAUGAUUACUAGGUGUUGGAGGAUUGACCCCUUCAGUGCCGCAGUUAACACAAUAAGUAAUCCACCUGGGGAGUACGACCGCAAGGUUG